GAUGAACGCUGGCGGCGUGCCUAAUACAUGCAAGUCGAGCGAACGGACGAGAAGCUUGCUUUUCUGAUGUUAGCGGCGGACGGGUGAGUAACACGUGGAUAACCUACCUAUAAGACUGGGAUAACUUCGGGAAACCGGAGCUAAUACCGGAUAAUAUUUUGAACCGCAUGGUUCAAAAGUGAAAGACGGUCUUGCUGUCACUUAUAGAUGGAUCCGCGCUGCAUUAGCUAGUUGGUAAGGUAACGGCUUACCAAGGCAACGAUGCAUAGCCGACCUGAGAGGGUGAUCGGCCACACUGGAACUGAGACACGGUCCAGACUCCUACGGGAGGCAGCAGAGGGAAUCUUCCGCAAUGGGCGAAAGCCUGACGGAGCAACGCCGCGUGAGUGAUGAAGGUCUUCGGAUCGUAAAACUCUGUUAUUAGGGAAGAACAUAUGUGUAAGUAACUGUGCACAUCUUGACGGUACCUAAUCAGAAAGCCACGGCUAACUACGUG
RNAcentral lists this ribosomal RNA (496 nucleotides) under uncultured bacterium. Its description in RNAcentral is "partial 16S ribosomal RNA". It matches the Rfam family "Bacterial small subunit ribosomal RNA", at positions 28 to 507 of the family's 1533-position model. The record is from RNAcentral.